This 424-nucleotide ribosomal RNA is filed under the name uncultured Lactobacillus sp. RNAcentral's name for it is "bacterial SSU rRNA". It matches the Rfam family "Bacterial small subunit ribosomal RNA", at positions 358 to 774 of the family's 1533-position model. The record is from RNAcentral. Lineage: Bacteria; Bacillati; Bacillota; Bacilli; Lactobacillales; Lactobacillaceae.
GGAAUCUUCCACAAUGGACGCAAGUCUGAUGGAGCAACGCCGCGUGAGUGAAGAAGGCUUUCGGGUCGUAAAACUCUGUUGUUGGAGAAGAAUGGUCGGCAGAGUAACUGUUGCCGGCGUGACGGUAUCCAACCAGAAAGCCACGGCUAACUACGUGCCAGCAGCCGCGGUAAUACGUAGGUGGCAAGCGUUAUCCGGAUUUAUUGGGCGUAAAGCGAGCGCAGGCGGUUUUUUAAGUCUGAUGUGAAAGCCCUCGGCUUAACCGAGGAAGCGCAUCGGAAACUGGGAAACUUGAGUGCAGAAGAGGACAGUGGAACUCCAUGUGUAGCGGUGAAAUGCGUAGAUAUAUGGAAGAACACCAGUGGCGAAGGCGGCUGUCUGGUCUGUAACUGACGCUGAGGCUCGAAAGCAUGGGUAGCGAACA